RNAcentral lists this ribosomal RNA (253 nucleotides) under uncultured bacterium. Its description in RNAcentral is "partial 16S ribosomal RNA". It matches the Rfam family "Bacterial small subunit ribosomal RNA", at positions 524 to 776 of the family's 1533-position model. The record is from RNAcentral.
UACGUAGGGUGCAAGCGUUGUCCGGAAUUAUUGGGCGUAAAGAGCUCGUAGGCGGUCUGUCGCGUCGGAUGUGAAAAUCCAGGGCUCAACCCUGGACCUGCAUUCGAUACGGGCAGACUAGAGUUCGGCAGGGGAGACUGGAAUUCCUGGUGUAGCGGUGAAAUGCGCAGAUAUCUGGAGGAACACCGGUGGCGAAGGCGGCAUCCUGGACCGGCAUUGACGCUGAGGCGCGAAAGCCAGGGGAGCAAACGGG